AUGAAAUUUUCUUAAAAGCAACCUAGCAAGUAGGUUUUAAGGAGAAAAUAACUAAAUUAAUCAGAAGAAAUUCUGAAUAUAACAUGGAGUGUGGAUUUAUUUUGUGUUUUAAGAAAAGGAGCUGGAUGCAAGAAGUUGCACCAAAAAAAAAAAAAAUGUUGACUGUGAUGUUAUUUCAAAAACCACACCGAAAGAGAUGGAGACUGUUAGGUUUAGGUCAAGUGAAUGAUGACAGAAACCUGGAGCUGGAAUUGUUUUUUGCACCUGGAACUGGAAUUGCUGGUCCAAUGAUGUAUUUGGAUCAAGACCACAUAUCCAGUUCAACCACCAGUUUAUGGAAAUGCUGGUGUGUGGGUAUCUCACUCCUGCAGGAAUCUGCCAAAUUCUGCCUUCUGCUGACUCAUUCCUUGUGUUUUGCUUUCCUACCAAGGAAAUGCAGCACUGCCAUUGUAAUGCUGCAUUUUGGCCAGCUCUGACAAGCAGCUUUGGGGAUCUGAAGGCAGAAGAGAGACUAUCCAAAAAACUGGAUCUUGAGCACAUUUAGUGUUAAAAAAAUUUCACUGUAGAACCCUGGUGUGACCUGUUUGUGUGUAACACUGUGAGAAGGACCACACUUUCCUAGGUAAGAUUCUUCCUUUAAAAUAUUUGAGGCUACUGAACUAAGACUCCCCCAAAGGCCAGCAUUUUGCUGAGUUGAACAUACACAGAGAGAUUGCAUAAGAAUCCCAGCACCCCUGAAAAGACCUUCACUACAGCAAACAACGUCACAAGCCAGAAGACCUUCAGCAUGAGGGUAAAAAUAUUACUUUGACAACUUUUAUCACAUA
This is a long non-coding RNA of Poecile atricapillus (Black-capped chickadee), 827 nucleotides long. RefSeq lists it as uncharacterized. The transcript is spliced from 3 exons. The record is from RefSeq and is a predicted model, not a curated record. NCBI's taxonomy places the organism in Eukaryota, Metazoa, Chordata, Aves, Passeriformes, Paridae.